RNAcentral lists this ribosomal RNA (370 nucleotides) under uncultured eukaryote. Its description in RNAcentral is "partial 18S ribosomal RNA". It matches the Rfam family "Eukaryotic small subunit ribosomal RNA", at positions 592 to 976 of the family's 1831-position model. The record is from RNAcentral.
CAAUAGCGUAUAUUAAAGUUGUUGCAGUUAAAAAGCUCGUAGUUGGACCUUGGACCUGGACAGGCGGUCCGCCUCACGGCGUGUACUGUCUUGCUGGGUCUUUCCUCUUGGUGAUCUGUUGUUUCGGCAGCAGGGAACCAGGACUUUUACUUUGAGAAAAUUAGAGUGUUCAAAGCAGGCUCGACGCCGGAAUAUAUUAGCAUGGAAUAAUAAAAUAGGACGUGCGGUUCUAUUUUGUUGGUUUUUGGAAUCGCCGUAAUGAUUAAUAGGGACAGUCGGGGGCAUUAGUACUCACAUGCUAGAGGUGAAAUUCUUGGAUUUUGUGAAGACUAACUUCUGCGAAAGCAUUUGCCAAGGAUGUUUUCAUUAA